RNAcentral lists this ribosomal RNA (497 nucleotides) under uncultured bacterium. RNAcentral describes it as "partial 16S ribosomal RNA". It matches the Rfam family "Bacterial small subunit ribosomal RNA", at positions 28 to 507 of the family's 1533-position model. The record is from RNAcentral.
GAUGAACGCUGGCGGCGUGCCUAAUACAUGCAAGUCGAGCGAACAGACGCGGAGCUUGCUCCUCUGACGUUAGCGGCGCACGUGUGAGUAACACGUGGAUAACCUACCUAUAAGACUGGGAUCACUUCGGGAAACCGGAGCUAAUCCCGGAUAAUAUAUUGAACCGCAUGGUUCAAUAGUGAAAGACGGCUUUGCUGUCACUUAUAGAUGGAUCCGCGCCGCAUUAGCUAGUUGGUAAGGUAACGGCUUACCAAGGCAACGAUGCGUAGCCGACCUGAGAGGGUGAUCGGCCGCACGGGAACGGAGACACGGUCCAGACUCCUACGGGAGGCAGCAGUAGGGAAUCUGCCGCAAUGGGCGAAAGCCUGACGGAGCAACGCCGCGUGAGUGAUGAAGGUCUUCGGAUCGUAAAACUCUGUUAUGAGGGAAGAACAAAUGUGUAAGUAACUAUGCACGUCUUGACGGUACCUAAUCAGAAAGCCACGGCUAACUACGUG